This 218-nucleotide ribosomal RNA is filed under the name Achromobacter xylosoxidans. Its description in RNAcentral is "partial 16S ribosomal RNA". It matches the Rfam family "Bacterial small subunit ribosomal RNA", at positions 53 to 268 of the family's 1533-position model. The record is from RNAcentral. Lineage: Bacteria; Pseudomonadati; Pseudomonadota; Betaproteobacteria; Burkholderiales; Alcaligenaceae.
CCUUAACAUGCAAGUCGAACGGCAGCACGGACUUCGGUCUGGUGGCGAGUGGCGAACGGGUGAGUAAUGUAUCGGAACGUGCCCAGUAGCGGGGGAUAACUACGCGAAAGCGUAGCUAAUACCGCAUACGCCCUACGGGGGAAAGCAGGGGAUCGGAAGACCUUGCCCAAUUGGAGGGUCCAAUAUGAGAUUAUGAUUGUGGUGGGGAACNGGUUCAC